UUUUAUUAAACUUAAUUUUUUUGGCGGUUUAUUAUCCUUUCAUAGGAACUUGUUAAUUUUAAUUGAUAACCCACUUUUAUUAUUACCUUUUAUAAUUUUAUGUACGGCUGUUUUUAGUAUUAAUAUAAUUUUUUUUACUUUAAAAAAAAAUUUUUUUUUUAUUUCAGGUCAAUGUGUAGACUAUUAAAAGGUUUUUAAUGAGUUACGUUAAUAGGAUAACUUUUUUAAAUUUUUUAAAAUUGGAUAUGAUAGUAAAUUAAAAUUAAAAAUUUUAAUUGAUGAAGGACCUAAUAAAAGUACAUAUCGCCCGUCACUCUUUUGAUAG
Molecule: ribosomal RNA, 325 nt
Filed under: Zachvatkinia oceanodromae
Lineage: Eukaryota; Metazoa; Arthropoda; Arachnida; Sarcoptiformes; Avenzoariidae
Description: partial 12S small subunit ribosomal RNA
Source: RNAcentral